AUUGCUUUCCAUGCAUUGUUUGCCAGUCAAGUCAUCUAACAGAGUUACUCCGAAUCACUGAAUUGCUGUGUGUAGUCUUUGCCCGUCUUUUGAUGGGCUUUUUUUUGU
This 108-nucleotide small RNA is filed under the name Serratia fonticola. RNAcentral describes it as "RprA RNA". Lineage: Bacteria; Pseudomonadati; Pseudomonadota; Gammaproteobacteria; Enterobacterales; Yersiniaceae. The record is from RNAcentral.